Molecule: ribosomal RNA, 253 nt
Filed under: uncultured bacterium
Lineage: Bacteria
Description: partial 16S ribosomal RNA
Rfam family: Bacterial small subunit ribosomal RNA
Source: RNAcentral
UACGGGGGGGGCAAGCGUUGUUCGGAAUUACUGGGCGUAAAGGGCGCGUAGGCGGCUGAGCAGGUCCGGUGUGAAAUCCCUCGGCUCAACUGAGGAAUUGCGCUGGAAACCGCUUGGCUCGAGUACAGGAGAGGAGGGCGGAAUUCCCGGUGUAGCGGUGAAAUGCGUAGAUAUCGGGAAGAACACCGGUGGCGAAGGCGGCUCUCUGGACUGUAACUGACGCUGAGGCGCGAAAGCGUGGGGAGCGAACGGG